UACCAGUACCCCGAGUGGUCGGGACGUUUAUUGGGCCUAAAGCAUCCGUAGCCGGUUCUACAAGUCUUCCGUUAAAUCCAGCUGCUUAACAGAUGGGCUGCGGAAGAUACUAUGGAGCUAGGAGGCGGGAGAGGCAAGCGGUACUCGAUGGGUAGGGGUAAAAUCCGUUGAUCCAUUGAAGACCACCAGUGGCGAAGGCGGCUUGCCAGAACGCGCUCGACGGUGAGGGAUGAAAGCUGGGGGAGCAAACCGG
Molecule: ribosomal RNA, 253 nt
Filed under: uncultured bacterium
Lineage: Bacteria
Description: partial 16S ribosomal RNA
Rfam family: Archaeal small subunit ribosomal RNA
Source: RNAcentral